GCACGCGUGGCGUAGUGGUAGUGCGCUAGACUGGUAAACCGGAGGUUCCGGGUUCAAUUCUUCUGGGUGUGAA
Caenorhabditis brenneri is the source of this 73-nucleotide non-coding RNA. Lineage: Eukaryota; Metazoa; Nematoda; Chromadorea; Rhabditida; Rhabditidae. The record is from the annotation of a GenBank genome assembly.